Long non-coding RNA from Pygocentrus nattereri (red-bellied piranha), 705 nucleotides. RefSeq lists it as uncharacterized. NCBI's taxonomy places the organism in Eukaryota, Metazoa, Chordata, Actinopteri, Characiformes, Serrasalmidae. The transcript is spliced from 3 exons. The record is from RefSeq and is a predicted model, not a curated record.
GUAAGGGGUCUUCAGACUUGUUCUUAAGACCCUUGUUGGGGGAAUGUUAUGUUCCUUGGCUCAAUAUCGGCUUCAAGUGGCUAUGAGGACCCAUGCUACAGUCAUCUUGUAUCCCACGGAGAGUUUGGAUGGGAUUGGAACUGAACUUCAACUGGAUUACUCAUCCGCCCUUCUUAUGCAGGAGCGAUAAAGAGUUCGAGCAUGGAGUGGACCUUCUGGGAACUGAUCUGAAAACAUCCACCAGCCAUCCUCCCGCUGUGAGAUGACUCAGCGCUGUGGAUCUGAAAGGACGUGUAGCUGAUCAAGAAGAACCUCGCUGAGAAAAGGAGACGGACACAUCAAACAAAGAAGCUGGACAAUGGACUGACCGCCCCAGAGUGCAGACCUCAACACUACGACCAACUAAGACUUAACUUCGGAGGUGUGUCUGCAGGUUCUUUGCGAAACUGAAAGUGAGUCGUGAUAAAGGUAAAGAGUGACGCACUAAAUAUUGACCAAGUUGUGUUUAGUUGAGCGUUUUGUAUAAUUUUCUUUUCUCUGAUGCUGCAAAUUAGUAACUUGUAAUUAACCCUCAUGACGGAUGUUGUGUCACAAAUCACACCUUGUCUUCUCAGAACUCAGGAAUGCUUUAAAGCAGCAGUUUACCAAGCAUAUACGUAGAAACUGCAGAAUCUACCAUUCCUAAAAAUAGCAGCGCCAGCGUGG